This 777-nucleotide ribosomal RNA is filed under the name uncultured Neocallimastigales. RNAcentral describes it as "partial large subunit ribosomal RNA". It matches the Rfam family "Eukaryotic large subunit ribosomal RNA", at positions 23 to 638 of the family's 3401-position model. The record is from RNAcentral. Lineage: Eukaryota; Fungi; Neocallimastigomycota; Neocallimastigomycetes; Neocallimastigales.
GAGACUCUGUGCGCGUGCAUAUCAAUAAGCGGAGGAAAAGAAACUAACAAGGAUUCCCCUAGUAACGGCGAGUGAAGCGGGAAGAGCUCAAAUUUGAAAUCUUAAAGGGUUUCCCUUUACGAAUUGUAGUUUAAAGAAGUGUUUUCUGUUGGAGUUUCGGUAAAAGUUCUUUGGAAUAGGACAUCAUAGAGGGUGAGAAUCCCGUAUUUGACCGUUACUUUCCAGCUGUGUGAUACACUUUCAAAGAGUCGGAUUGUUUGGGAAUGCAGUCCAAGAUGGGUGGUAAAUUUCAUCUAAAGCUAAAUAUUGGCGAGAGACCGAUAGCGAACAAGUACCGUGAGGGAAAGAUGAAAAGAACUUUGAAAAGAGAGUUAAACAGUACGUGAAAUUGUCAAAAGGGAGGCGUUUGACACCAGUGUUGUUUAGUUGAAAAUCAAUUCAAUAGUUUUUGAUUCUAAGUAGUAUUGACUUCAUCAGCUUGCUGCUUUCUUCUCAGAAAUUAUUGAAUGCACUUUUCAGUUAACAAGUCAACAUCAAUUUCUUUUGUUGUAGAAGGGUAAGAGGAAGGUGGCUUACGCUUCGGCGUAAGUGUUUAUAGCCUUUUAUCCUCUGCAAUCGGAGAGAUUGAGGUCUGCAGCGUAGAUCCUUCGGGGUUAGAUACAUUUGGUGCUAAGUUAUAGCUUGUCAUAGACAACUUGUUGACUAUGUUUAGUCUAGUAGCUUACUCGCUGACGCUAUUUUACCUACGCUUAGGAUGUUGACAGCAGUAUAGACUGU